Molecule: ribosomal RNA, 505 nt
Filed under: uncultured bacterium
Lineage: Bacteria
Description: partial 16S ribosomal RNA
Rfam family: Bacterial small subunit ribosomal RNA
Source: RNAcentral
GACGAACGCUGGCGGCGUGCCUAAUACAUGCAAGUAGAACGCACAGUUUAUACCGUAGCUUGCUACACCAUAAACUGUGAGUUGCGAACGGGUGAGUAACGCGUAGGUAACCUGCCUGGUAGCGGGGGAUAACUAUUGGAAACGAUAGCUAAUACCGCAUAAUAUUGAUUAUUGCAUGAUAAUUGAUUGAAAGAUGCUAUUGCAUCACUACCAGAUGGACCUGCGUUGUAUUAGCUAGUAGGGGAGGUAACGGCUCACCUAGGCGACGAUACAUAGCCGACCUGAGAGGGUGAUCGGCCACACUGGGACUGAGACACGGCCCAGACUCCUACGGGAGGCAGCAGUAGGGAAUCUUCGGCAAUGGACGAAAGUCUGACCGAGCAACGCCGCGUGAGUGAAGAAGGUUGUCGGAUCGUAAAGCUCUGUUGUAAGAGAAGAACGGGUGUGAGAGUGGAAAGUUCACACUGUGACGGUAUCUUACCAGAAAGGGACGGCUAACUACGUG